This 58-nucleotide transfer RNA is filed under the name Bos taurus (domestic cattle). Lineage: Eukaryota; Metazoa; Chordata; Mammalia; Artiodactyla; Bovidae. RNAcentral also lists the same sequence under 5 other names. The record is from Rfam by way of RNAcentral.
UGGUUCAGUGGUUAAGACUCUGUAUUUCCACUGCAGUGGGCACAGGUUUGAUCCCUGU